GUGGGGAAUCUUGCGCAAUGGGCGAAAGCCUGACGCAGCAACGCCGCGUGUGUGAUGAAGGCUUUCGGGUCGUAAAGCACUGUCAGGAGGGAAGAACGGCGGCUGGCUAAUACCCGGCCGACUUGACGGUACCUCUGAAGGAAGCACCGGCUAACUCCGUGCCAGCAGCCGCGGCAAUACGGGGGGUGCUAGCGUUGUUCGGAAUCAUUGGGCGUAAAGCGCGUGUAGGCGGGCGGGCAAGUCGGGUGUGAAAGCCCAGGGCUUAACCCUGGAAUUGCGCUCGAAACUGCUUGUCUUGAGUACGGGAGGGGGAAGCGGAAUUCUCGGUGUAGGGGUGAAAUCCGUAGAUAUCGGGAGGAACACCGAUGGCGAAGGCAGCUUCCUGGACCGAUACUGACGCUGAGACGCGAAAGCGUGGGGAGCAAACAGGAUUAGAUACCCCGGUAGUCC
Molecule: ribosomal RNA, 450 nt
Filed under: uncultured bacterium
Lineage: Bacteria
Description: bacterial SSU rRNA
Rfam family: Bacterial small subunit ribosomal RNA
Source: RNAcentral